Brassica oleracea var. oleracea is the source of this 1091-nucleotide long non-coding RNA. RefSeq lists it as uncharacterized. The record is from RefSeq and is a predicted model, not a curated record. The transcript has 6 exons. Lineage: Eukaryota; Viridiplantae; Streptophyta; Magnoliopsida; Brassicales; Brassicaceae.
UAGAACAACAGUCAACUGCUCAUUUGUCGUCUCAUGUUACCUUCGACCAUCGCCUGUAUGUAACGGAAGACUUAACGUUUUGCCUCCACUAUCCCCAGAUUUGUUGUUAGCUGUUAAUGAUUACAUUGAAGCUAAGCUCUGAAUCAACUUCCCAUCUUUCUAGCUUCCCUUCUUCUUCACCAUUUCAAACACUAUAUAUAUAAGCUUGCAGAAGAAGUCUCCGGACAGCUUUAUGUCUAGCUAUUUCUCUUUCAUAGCAUACUAUACUUUAGAGCGUAGACUAACGUAGCCAAUCCCCCAAAUAGUUCUGUCUGAGUUGAGGUCUGGGAGAUGUAAGGAUACCUUACUGACCUGUGUCCUCAGUUUAUAGGAAACAAGAAAGUCAAUCUCCACCACUUUCGAACACCAUCUCUAAGAAGUCACCAGAAGUAAUCAGUACUUAAAACUGACCACAUCACCUGUCUCUAUCCGCUUCACGCCUCAAACCAUCUUCGUCCAGGUCCGUAACAAAAAUAUUGGUUGGAUUGGAUACAUUUCUUAGACAAACAAACGCAAUGCCGUUUGGUACAAUUGUUGGUGAAGUUUUGGGCAUCAAAACCACAUACAACGAAUCAACGAUGAAACCGCAGACAAUUCAAAGGAUUAUGAUUAAUGCAUAUCUCCUCCACUCUGUCCCACAGACUGUGGAUUUCCUUUGCACUGGUUGAUGCUUCACUUUCUGCUUAUUGAUACUACAAAUGGUUGGUGCUUCACUUCUUGCUCGAAGUGCUCAAGAAGACAAGAAUGCUUCAACGUGGAUUCACAUCGUUCACAUGUUAAACUUGCCAUCAGGAAGCAGUUGGGGUCCUUAGGUACCUUGUCCAGUUCUCAGUCUCUGAUGGAACUGAAACAACUGUCUUUGUGGCAUUUGAUAGAGAGAUGACAAAGCUAACCAAUGCACGUGCGGUAGACAUUGGCCUACUAAUUGUGUUGGGAAGCCAGAGCUAAUAACCAUCCCACAGUUAGUCAAAGACUUGGUUGGCAUCACUUUCAGUUUCCAGGAGAAGCUUUCACCGUUUAACUCGCCUCCAAGCAUCAGUCCUUAACCAUAU